CAUUCAUUUUGGUUGAUGUUGAGGAUAGUCAUCGGCAGUAGACCUACAUCUUCUGGACCAAUUAGCAUACCAACAGUGAUUAGGCUAAGGUGGUGAUCCAAUUCCAUGGAUGAGCAGCAAGGAAGGAGGAACGUUGGAGAGAUAGAACCAGUUGGCGGCCAACCAAGCAGGAACAGUGGCCAAACUGGCCUCGAGCCUGAGGAGCAUAGGAUUGACAUUGUUGAAAUCAGUCAUAGGGAUUGGAUUGAGUCUCUCAGAACGGCAGAAGAAAGCACUCAAUGGCGAAGGAUACCAAAGGUUCCUCAGAAGCUGAGGGGGACCCAGGAUUUCAAGAAAUUCUACGAACCGAGGGUAAUUUCAAUCGGUCCUUACCACCAUGGCGAACCCAACCUUGGCCCAGUGGAAAUGAUCAAGCUUCCAUGUGCCCAAAAAUUCCUGGCUCAUAGUAACCAGGACAUUGAAGCUUUGUACACAAAAAUUCGAAGUAAAAUCGAGGCAGUGAAAAAGUGCUAUGAUUAGAGUAGUACAGAAAAGUAUGAUGAUGAGAAACUCGCCAGGAUGAUGCUUCUGGAUGGGUGUUUUGUACUACAAUUCAUCCGCUGGAAAGGUAUGAGAAAAUUUCUUAGAAAUCACCAAAUAAAUUUUGUGAUGCAGGACUUGUUCUUGCUGGAGAACCAACUUCCCUUUGGAGUCCUCAAGUUGAUUUUUGAGGGAGCAAAUUUCCAGGGUGGUCUACCAAUGGAAAAGAAUAUAAAAAAUUUCAUCACUUACUUCGGAAUGCCAGAAGGGUUGUCAUCAGAAAUACAGCUGUAAGAGGUGAACGAAGAGCCCUCUCAUCUACUCGACCUUUUGCAAAGUGCUCUCCUAGGCCAGAGUCAGCCCGAACAAGAGCAGCAACCUGAGAAAAAAGGAAAGUCGUCGUCGUCGUCUCAAGGAGGAAAGUGGGGGUUCUGUUGCCGAUGGAAAAAAAGCAUACAACGGGGCAUUUGGCAGUCUUUUCGACACAUCAAGGAGCUUAAAGCUGCCGGGAUCUAUCUCAAACCGAGUAGAACGUGUUUCUUGAGAGACAUUUCUUUCAAAUCCUACUUCUUCUUUGGCUACCUGAAACUUCCCCCAAUAACCAUUGAUGACUUCACGAAGACCAAGUUCUUGAACAUGGUAGCCUAUGAAAUGUGUCCAGAUGCCCCAGAUGACUAUGCGGUCACUUCUUACAUAUGCUUCCUUUACGACCUCAUUGAUCAUGCAGACGAUGUCAAGGAGCUGAGAUCUAAGCACAUUCUCCACAACCUUCUUGGCAGCGAUGACGAUGUGGCCCAAAUUUUCAACGAGAUCGGCAAUGACUUGGUAGAUCCCGAUGCUUAUAAAGAUGUAAAAGAUUGUAUUCAGAAGCACUACAAGAAGAGAGUGAAUACUUGGAUAGCUCAAGCCCUUCACAACCAUUUCAGGUCUCCAUGGACUGUCAUGGCUUUCAUUGCUGCUGUUUUGAUACUAUUUCAGGUCUCCAUGGAUUAAUUAUGACUGUGAUGUGUUUUUAUCCUGUUUGGUGUGUGUGAUUAGAGAAAUAAAGAUGUGUAGAUUGUUAAGUUGUAUCACUGGAUUUCAUGCAUGCAAUAUUAUGGGUCUUUUCCAGUUUUCCUCCCCACAUGAAUUUGCUAUACAAUCUCCAGCUUGCUUUUUUCUGUUCUUUUUCAUAGAGCAGGAUCAUAGAUAACACAACAUCAACAUAGAAAAUUUUCGGUCAACAGUAUGUGAUUCCGUGGAUGGGAUGGGAUUGAAUUUGCUCACACACUUUUUUAUCUAAGGAGAAAAUUGUGGAUAAAAUCAUAAUUUUGAUAUAUUUAUAAAUUGAGGAAGGGCUAUCUCUAAUUUAUUUUUAAUAUAAAAGAUAAAAUCAUAAUACAUAACUAAGAAAGGGGAGCGAAGACAUUUUUUAUUUCAUUGUUGAACUUGUUUCAAAAAAAAAAUCCACACACAGAGAUUGAGUUAGAAAUGAAGGUAGAGAAAAGAAUGAUAGAACUCGUUAAAAUUGUUUAUAUCUCAGGCACUAAAAUACAUCUUGUAUCACUUUUUAGGGUAAAAGUGUUUUUAAAGAGCAUUGCCAAUUGGAUUUUAAAUAAUCUAGAUUGUCACUUUUUUUUUUCAAUUAUAUAUAUUAUAUCAAAUAUUUCUAUUUUUUUUGUACAAAGUAAAUAAAUUAUUUAAUAUAUUCAAACAUUGUCAUUCAAUCAAUUGAUAUAAAUCUUUCUUUUAAAGUAAACAUGAUGUAAAUAAUUACGUAUAAUCAAGCAAUCAACUAUCGUUCUUAAUUUAUUUUCUUUGGUUAUUUCAUUUUUUUUUUUUUUUUUUUGCCCUUUUAUUCUCAUUUCUGUUUCAUAUAACAUUUUCUUUACUUUUCUUUCCAUAUAAAAUGAGUGUGAUAUAAUACUAUUGUCCAAUAAUAAUAUCUAAUAAUAUAAAACAAUUAUUUUAAAUAUAUAACAACAUUUAAAAUUUUAGACAAAUAAUUUUCGUUAUUUUCAAUAUUGAUGACACUAAUAAAUUUCAAUUUUAUCUUCAUACAAGCCAAAUAACUCUUAACACUUCACACAAUUUAUCUUUCAUUCACUUGAAUUGAAUUUUUCUCCAACAUCAUUUCCACUAAAAAUCAAUUAUUGCAAAAAAAUAAAAUAAAAUGACAACUAUACACGUAGAAUCCCUUACAAGUAGAAUCACUUGCAAAAAAACACCAUGAUAAGUAAAUCUAAAUCCAAAAAAUAAUAAUCACAAAUUUUUUUAUUAAAAUAUAUUUAUGGACCCCGCAUUUCGGCUUAUACGCCUCCACUCGACGGCGAGCUCGAUUUUUAUUUGAAAAUGACUUGGAGUCGCCACUCAUUUUUGUUUUAUUUUAAAAAGGGUAAGCGAAAUAAAAAAGAAAACCCUAAGUGUGACUCCUUAUUUUGGAAAAGAUGGUUUGUGAAAAACUGGAUCGGGCUUAGGGGUCAGGUUACUUAUCAGGAAGGUACGACAUAAACCGUAGCACCCCUCAAAGUCCCUAAAGUCGGGUCUCUACUAAUACAAUGAAACUGACGUAGCAAUCGACGAGAAAGUCAAUGGAUACUCACCUCAAACACGCACAAUAGGUGAAUCGGAACAUGAAUAGAGAAUGAUCAGAAUGAAAGUGUAUGCGUACCUGGGCCACGGACCAUAAUGCGCUAUCCAAAAAUGGGAUUAGCACACAAUUAAUGAAUACGGAAUAUGGCUCAUGCAUAUUGGAGUGCAAAUCGAAGAUCAAACGAAAUACACUAAGUACGACAGUUAUCAAUCAAAAGGGAUCAAACAUCGGGCCCCCACUAAAGCCCAAUUUAUUGUUCAUGAAUUAGUCUUACAAAUUCCGUGUUUAAAAUUAUGAAGACUUCACUUCUUGCUUAUGUAGAAUCAAGAAGAUCAGAAGAUUAUUUAAUAACCGAAAUGGAAUUAAAACUAUUCGAGUGAAAACUGGAUUCUUGGAGUUUAUUUGAAAAUUAGGAUCUCAAAAAUUACUUGGAAAUUGGAGCCUGGGGAACUGAAUUUAAGAAUGGGAAUUUUGGAAGUUAAGUUUCAAAAAUUGGAAUCCUGAAGAAUUAUUUAAAGAUUGAGUUUCAAAAAUAAACAAAUAAAUAAAAUAAUAAUGAUUAAAUAAAUCAAUAUGGGAAUUAAAUAUUUUGGAAAUUGGAAUCUAAAUUUAGAAAUCGGGAUUUUGAAGAAUUGUUUGAAGAUUGAAUUUUAAAAAUAAAUAAAUAAAUAAAAUAAUGAGGAUUUAAAUAAAUUGACAUGAGAAUUAAAAUUUCGGAAAUUGGAAUUUAAUUUAGAAGCCAGAAAAUUGGAACUGUUUUAAAGAAGGAAAUUUUGAAAUGGAUAGCUGGAAUAAUAAUAGUGAUGAUAAUAAUAAUUGUUUUGAAAGCUAAAUUUUAAAUAUUAAAACUUUGGUAAUUAGAUUGAAAUUCGUAUUUUUGACAAUUAACUCUGGAAGUUGAGAAUUUAAAAAUUAUUCCAAAAUGAAGACCUUGAUAAUGAGAUUUAAGAAAUGAACCCUAGGAAAUUAAACUGCGAGAAUAUGGAUUUUGAAAGUUGAAUUUGAAGAUUUAAGUAGUAGUAGUAAUAAUAAUAAUAAUAAUAACAAUAACAGUAAUAAUAAUAUUAAACUGCGAGAAUAUGGAUUUUGAAAGUUGAAUUUGAAGAUUUAAGUAAUAAUAAUAAUAAUAAUAAUAAUAAUAAUAAUAAUAAUAAUAAUAAUAACAACAACAAUAAUAAUAAUAAUAAUAUUAAACUGCGAGAAUAUGAAUUUUGAAAGUUGAAUUUGAAGAUUAAAAUAGUAAUAAUAAUAAUAAACUACGAGAAUAUAGAUUUUGAAAGUUGAAUUAGAAGAUUUAAGUAAUAAUAAUAAUAGUAAUAAUAAUAAUAUUGAACUUGAAUAUUUAAGUAAUAAUAAUAAUAGAAAUGGGCUUAAGACAAUGGCUAGAAAUGGGCUUAGGACAAUGGCUACUCAAAUUGAGCCCUUUAAUGGGCCUAGGGUGGGAAGAUUGAAUUUGAAGAUUUAAGUAAUAACAAUAGAAAUGGGCUUAGGACAAAAUGGGCUUAGGACAAUGGCUACGACUUGAGCCCUUUAAUGGGCCUAGGGUGGAAAAAUUGAAGAUUUAAGUAAUAACAAUAGAAAUGGGCUUAUGACAAUGGCUACAAAUUGAGCCCUUUAAUGGGCGGGAAAAUUGAAGUUGAAGAUUUAAGUAAUAAUAAUAGAAAUGGGCUUAGGACAAUGGCUACAAAUUGAGCCCUCUAAUGGGCUUAAGGUGGGAAGAUUAAAUCUCAAAGAAAGAUAGUGGGCCUUGGGCAUCUUGGUGGUGCAUGGAUUCUCUAUAUUGUAGCCAUAGUUUCAAGGUGAACAAGAGGGAACGACGGCACGAACCAGCUCCAGGGGUAUAACCGAAAGUGUAGAGAUGGCGCGGAGGUUGGGGCUUGAUGAACAGCAUGGGAUAGGUUGAUGGUGAUGAGCUUGUGGUACGAGAGAUAAGAUGAGCUUGGUGAUGGAAACGAGUGAGCAUGCAACUUGGAGAGGUGAGGAGAGUAGGAUAUGCGACUUGGAGCAUUAGUGGGUAUGAUUGUGGUGUAGAGAGGGAAGAGGUGGUGGGACGAAGUGCGCAUAAGAGAUUUGACACAAAGAGGCGAUAUGGGAAGAGUGGAGAUGGGUGGUAUGAAAAGUGAGUACAUGCGGAUAUGAGUGUGAAGAGGUUGGUGAGAAGCGGAGAUGUCCAUGCAUGCUUGAAAUGGGUGACAAAAUAAUGAUAUAAGGGGUAGUGGAAGGUGAUGACGGGAAGUGGGUUCAAUGAAACUGUUAGAGAGAGAAAGGGGUGCUAUUGGUAGUGAGAAGAGUGGAAGCACGAGCGUGAGUGAUGGUGAGUUUGAGUGGGUUUGGGUGAUGAUGUAGAUAUAGAAAGUGAAUAAAUAGAAGAGGUGGGUGAAGAAUAGGGCAUGAAACGUAUGAGGUGUGUAGAUGGUAUGAAAAGGUGGACAUGGUCUCCAUGGACUAUCAUGGCUUUCAUUUCAGCUGUUUUGUAGUCCACUUUCAAUCUCAUCACUUCAACACAAAUUGGGGCCAGCCAGGAGAGAGAUUUUUUGGUAGGAUGAGUUAUUGAAUAUAAAUUGGUGACGUGUCAGCAUCUUAGAGGGUCCAUGCAUGGUUUCAAUAUCAUUAUUUACGGUUCUUUUUAAUAAGAAUAAUGUUUAAACUUUGUACUCAUCCAAAAAGUAUUGAAUUAUUGGUACUAAACCGCACAUCCCAACAUUUUCCAUGAAAGGACAAUAAUUGCAUCUAAUUACAAAUAUAUCCUGGAAUCCAUCCCAUAUUUUUCUCGUGAACUAAUCUGUUUGGUUCGGAAACCACUGAAAAAAGAGAUGGAAAAUGCUAAAAAUAUAUUUUUUUAUAUUUGAUUUUGUUACAAAAAAAAAAAAAUUAACCAUGAAAGUCUGAAUAUAAUUAAAAUUAUUUAAAUUUUGUAUAUUUUUAAAAUUAUUAAUCCUUAUGUAAAAGAGUUAAAUACUUAAAAAUAAUAUUUAUCAUUGAUUUUAACUUUAAUUUUUUUUUCCUUUUACCUUUUCUCUCUAUUUUCUUUCCCUCACAAUUUCCUUCAAAAUAUUCCCUCAAUAACCUACUAAUUUAGUGUUUGUUGUUAUACUUUUUUUUUUUUUUAAACUUAAAUUUAAAUAAAAUUUAAUUUAACUUAAUUAUAAUAAAAGAAAAGGAUCAUACCACUUUUUUUUUUUUUUUUUUUUUUUUUUUUUUUUAUGGAUGUCAAGAUGGAUUUAAGAUACAUUUAUAAUAAGAUGAAAUUAUAGUCUGUUGAUGGAAAAUAUCAUUAUAAAAAAUGUCAUUUGAUCAGUGUGACCCUCUCGUAAUUGAUAACAAAUUCAAUUAUUGUCUGUCGAUGGAAACUGAAUUUCCAACCACACAAAAUUAAAUUCAUAUAAACAAUGACUUUUCUUGUUUCAAUUAUUUAUAUUAUAUCAAAUAUUUCUAAUUUUUUUGUAUAAAUAAAUUAUUUUAUUCUCUAAUUAUAGAUUCAAACAUACAAUGUCAUCCAAUCAAUAGAUACAUAAAUCUUUUUUUCAAAUAUAAACAUAAUGCAAAUAUAUACACACAAUCAAGUGGUGCGAUAUCGUUCCUAAGUUUUUACUGAAGAAUACACGUUUAUACCUAAAUACACUUCUCAUUUGGAGUGUUCUCGGGGUAAGUUUUUGUAAUUUAUAUAAGAGAUCUCACUUAUUUCUCAAUUCGCCCUCUUUGAAUCUUUUCAUUUCGAUCUUAUUUUCUUUUCUUUUAAUCUUUUUGCCCUCAUUCUCAUUUCCAUUUCAUAUAACAAGUUCUUCACUUUUCUUUGUCUACAACCAUGGAUGUAAAAUGAGUGCGGUAUAAUAUUGUUGUGCAAUCCUAACUCAAAUGAUAAUACCAACUAAUAUAAAAUAAUUAUUUUAAACCAAUAGUCAUCGGCAGUAGACUUAUAUCUUCUGGACCAAUUAGUAUACCAACAGUGAUCAGGCUAAGGUGAUGAUCCAAUUCCAUGGAAGAGCAUCAAGAAAGGAGGAGGAACGUUGGAGAGAAAGAAGGCGGCCAACCAAGCAGGAACAGUGGCCAAACUGGCCUCGAGCCUGAGGAGCAUAUGAUUGACAGUGUUG
RNAcentral lists this long non-coding RNA (7182 nucleotides) under Vitis vinifera (wine grape). RNAcentral's name for it is "long non-coding RNA (VVIN_LNC004442)". Lineage: Eukaryota; Viridiplantae; Streptophyta; Magnoliopsida; Vitales; Vitaceae. The record is from RNAcentral.